AAGUCAUAACAAGGUUUCCGUAGGUGAACCUGCGGAAGGAUCAUUUUUAAAUGAAUGAACAACCACACACUGUGAACCGGCUCCGGCCAUCAAACUUGAAUGUAAAGAAUGUAAUAGUAACAAAAUUAAUACAA
This 134-nucleotide unclassified non-coding RNA is filed under the name plant metagenome. RNAcentral's name for it is "partial contains small subunit ribosomal RNA and internal transcribed spacer 1". The stretch from base 1 to 46 matches the Rfam family "Eukaryotic small subunit ribosomal RNA", at positions 1786 to 1831 of the family's 1831-position model. The record is from RNAcentral.